UGCGCGCGCUUUUCACGCCGCGACAAAGGAGAGUGCUUUGCGGAUUUCGACCAGUGCUUCUUCAGGAUGGGGCGAAAAUGUGUCUUGCCGAAUUGCAGCAGUGGGUACGCGUCCUGCAAGGAAAAGUUGGCGAGCAAGCGAUGGUACGCAGCGCUGGACGAUCUCAAAUACGCCGAGUACAAGAUGUGCAACGAGAGACUUAUUUAUCCCAAGGAUGGUCGUGUUGUUUCAAUUAUAAACCCAACUGAGCCUGGGGCUAAAAGUUGGAAAAAUACCUUAAAGGACGGCAAGCUGGAGUCUGACAGAAUUCGAUUUCCGGAAU
Long non-coding RNA from Rhipicephalus sanguineus (brown dog tick), 322 nucleotides. RefSeq lists it as uncharacterized. The transcript is spliced from 3 exons. The record is from RefSeq and is a predicted model, not a curated record. NCBI's taxonomy places the organism in Eukaryota, Metazoa, Arthropoda, Arachnida, Ixodida, Ixodidae.